CACCGAAGUCAAGCAUCAUUGGGCGCGGUCAGUACUUGGGAGGGUGACCACCUGGGAACACCGCGUGCCGUU
This 72-nucleotide ribosomal RNA is filed under the name Caerostris darwini. The record is from RNAcentral. Lineage: Eukaryota; Metazoa; Arthropoda; Arachnida; Araneae; Araneidae.